This 658-nucleotide ribosomal RNA is filed under the name uncultured Lachnospiraceae bacterium. RNAcentral describes it as "bacterial SSU rRNA". It matches the Rfam family "Bacterial small subunit ribosomal RNA", at positions 64 to 735 of the family's 1533-position model. The record is from RNAcentral. Lineage: Bacteria; Bacillati; Bacillota; Clostridia; Lachnospirales; Lachnospiraceae.
GAAUGGAAUUCUUCGGAAGGAAGCUCAAGUGACUGAGUGGCGGACGGGUGAGUAACGCGUGGGUAACCUGCCUCAUACAGGGGGAUAACAGUUAGAAAUGACUGCUAAUACCGCAUAAGCACACGUGAUCGCAUGAUCGAGUGUGAAAAACUCCGGUGGUAUGAGAUGGACCCGCGUCUGAUUAGCUAGUUGGUGGGGUAAUGGCCCACCAAGGCGACGAUCAGUAGCCGGCCUGAGAGGGUGAACGGCCACAUUGGGACUGAGACACGGCCCAAACUCCUACGGGAGGCAGCAGUGGGGAAUAUUGCACAAUGGGGGGAACCCUGAUGCAGCGACGCCGCGUGAAGGAUGAAGUAUUUCGGUAUGUAAACUUCUAUCAGCAGGGAAGAAAAUGACGGUACCUGACUAAGAAGCCCCGGCUAACUACGUGCCAGCAGCCGCGGUAAUACGUAGGGGGCAAGCGUUAUCCGGAUUUACUGGGUGUAAAGGGAGCGUAGACGGCAGUGCAAGUCUGAAGUGAAAGCCCGGGGCUCAACCCCGGGACUGCUUUGGAAACUGUGCAGCUAGAGUGUCGGAGAGGCAAGCGGAAUUCCUAGUGUAGCGGUGAAAUGCGUAGAUAUUAGGAGGAACACCAGUGGCGAAGGCGGCUUGCUGGACG